GGUUAAGCGACUAAGCGUACACGGUGGAUGCCCUGGCAGUCAGAGGCGAUGAAGGACGUGCUAAUCUGCGAUAAGCGUCGGUAAGGUGAUAUGAACCGUUAUAACCGGCGAUUUCCGAAUGGGGAAACCCAGUGUGUUUCGACACACUAUCAUUAACUGAAUCCAUAGGUUAAUGAGGCGAACCGGGGGAACUGAAACAUCUAAGUACCCCGAGGAAAAGAAAUCAACCGAGAUUCCCCCAGUAGCGGCGAGCGAACGGGGAGCAGCCCAGAGCCUGAAUCAGUGUGUGUGUUAGUGGAAGCGUCUGGAAAGGCGCGCGAUACAGGGUGACAGCCCCGUACACAAAAAUGCACAUGCUGUGAGCUCGAUGAGUAGGGCGGGACACGUGGUAUCCUGUCUGAAUAUGGGGGGACCAUCCUCCAAGGCUAAAUACUCCUGACUGACCGAUAGUGAACCAGUACCGUGAGGGAAAGGCGAAAAGAACCCCGGCGAGGGGAGUGAAAAAGAACCUGAAACCGUGUACGUACAAGCAGUGGGAGCACGCUUAGGCGUGUGACUGCGUACCUUUUGUAUAAUGGGUCAGCGACUUAUAUUCUGUAGCAAGGUUAACCGAAUAGGGGAGCCGAAGGGAAACCGAGUCUUAACUGGGCGUUAAGUUGCAGGGUAUAGACCCGAAACCCGGUGAUCUAGCCAUGGGCAGGUUGAAGGUUGGGUAACACUAACUGGAGGACCGAACCGACUAAUGUUGAAAAAUUAGCGGAUGACUUGUGGCUGGGGGUGAAAGGCCAAUCAAACCGGGAGAUAGCUGGUUCUCCCCGAAAGCUAUUUAGGUAGCGCCUCGUGAAUUCAUCUCCGGGGGUAGAGCACUGUUUCGGCAAGGGGGUCAUCCCGACUUACCAACCCGAUGCAAACUGCGAAUACCGGAGAAUGUUAUCACGGGAGACACACGGCGGGUGCUAACGUCCGUCGUGAAGAGGGAAACAACCCAGACCGCCAGCUAAGGUCCCAAAGUCAUGGUUAAGUGGGAAACGAUGUGGGAAGGCCCAGACAGCCAGGAUGUUGGCUUAGAAGCAGCCAUCAUUUAAAGAAAGCGUAAUAGCUCACUGGUCGAGUCGGCCUGCGCGGAAGAUGUAACGGGGCUAAACCAUGCACCGAAGCUGCGGCAGCGACGCUUAUGCGUUGUUGGGUAGGGGAGCGUUCUGUAAGCCUGCGAAGGUGUGCUGUGAGGCAUGCUGGAGGUAUCAGAAGUGCGAAUGCUGACAUAAGUAACGAUAAAGCGGGUGAAAAGCCCGCUCGCCGGAAGACCAAGGGUUCCUGUCCAACGUUAAUCGGGGCAGGGUGAGUCGACCCCUAAGGCGAGGCCGAAAGGCGUAGUCGAUGGGAAACAGGUUAAUAUUCCUGUACUUGGUGUUACUGCGAAGGGGGGACGGAGAAGGCUAUGUUGGCCGGGCGACGGUUGUCCCGGUUUAAGCGUGUAGGCUGGUUUUCCAGGCAAAUCCGGAAAAUCAAGGCUGAGGCGUGAUGACGAGGCACUACGGUGCUGAAGCAACAAAUGCCCUGCUUCCAGGAAAAGCCUCUAAGCAUCAGGUAACAUCAAAUCGUACCCCAAACCGACACAGGUGGUCAGGUAGAGAAUACCAAGGCGCUUGAGAGAACUCGGGUGAAGGAACUAGGCAAAAUGGUGCCGUAACUUCGGGAGAAGGCACGCUGAUAUGUAGGUGAGGUCCCUCGCGGAUGGAGCUGAAAUCAGUCGAAGAUACCAGCUGGCUGCAACUGUUUAUUAAAAACACAGCACUGUGCAAACACGAAAGUGGACGUAUACGGUGUGACGCCUGCCCGGUGCCGGAAGGUUAAUUGAUGGGGUUAGCGCAAGCGAAGCUCUUGAUCGAAGCCCCGGUAAACGGCGGCCGUAACUAUAACGGUCCUAAGGUAGCGAAAUUCCUUGUCGGGUAAGUUCCGACCUGCACGAAUGGCGUAAUGAUGGCCAGGCUGUCUCCACCCGAGACUCAGUGAAAUUGAACUCGCUGUGAAGAUGCAGUGUACCCGCGGCAAGACGGAAAGACCCCGUGAACCUUUACUAUAGCUUGACACUGAACAUUGAGCCUUGAUGUGUAGGAUAGGUGGGAGGCUUUGAAGUGUGGACGCCAGUCUGCAUGGAGCCGACCUUGAAAUACCACCCUUUAAUGUUUGAUGUUCUAACGUUGACCCGUAAUCCGGGUUGCGGACAGUGUCUGGUGGGUAGUUUGACUGGGGCGGUCUCCUCCUAAAGAGUAACGGAGGAGCACGAAGGUUGGCUAAUCCUGGUCGGACAUCAGGAGGUUAGUGCAAUGGCAUAAGCCAGCUUGACUGCGAGCGUGACGGCGCGAGCAGGUGCGAAAGCAGGUCAUAGUGAUCCGGUGGUUCUGAAUGGAAGGGCCAUCGCUCAACGGAUAAAAGGUACUCCGGGGAUAACAGGCUGAUACCGCCCAAGAGUUCAUAUCGACGGCGGUGUUUGGCACCUCGAUGUCGGCUCAUCACAUCCUGGGGCUGAAGUAGGUCCCAAGGGUAUGGCUGUUCGCCAUUUAAAGUGGUACGCGAGCUGGGUUUAGAACGUCGUGAGACAGUUCGGUCCCUAUCUGCCGUGGGCGCUGGAGAACUGAGGGGGGCUGCUCCUAGUACGAGAGGACCGGAGUGGACGCAUCACUGGUGUUCGGGUUGUCAUGCCAAUGGCACUGCCCGGUAGCUAAAUGCGGAAGAGAUAAGUGCUGAAAGCAUCUAAGCACGAAACUUGCCCCGAGAUGAGUUCUCCCUGACCCUGAUCAUUUACAUGAGGAUCACCCAUGUUUUUGAUCAAGGGUCCUGAAGGAACGUUGAAGACGACGACGUUGAUAGGCCGGGUGUGUAAGCGCAGCGAUGCGUUGAGCUAACCGGUACUAAUGAACCGUGAGGCUUAACCUU
RNAcentral lists this ribosomal RNA (2937 nucleotides) under Escherichia coli. RNAcentral's name for it is "23S ribosomal RNA from Escherichia coli (PDB 8FTO, chain a)". It matches the Rfam family "Bacterial large subunit ribosomal RNA". Lineage: Bacteria; Pseudomonadati; Pseudomonadota; Gammaproteobacteria; Enterobacterales; Enterobacteriaceae. The record is from RNAcentral.